RNAcentral lists this ribosomal RNA (447 nucleotides) under uncultured bacterium. RNAcentral's name for it is "bacterial SSU rRNA". It matches the Rfam family "Bacterial small subunit ribosomal RNA", at positions 328 to 792 of the family's 1533-position model. The record is from RNAcentral.
GCGCCAGACUCCUACGGGAGGCAGCAGUGGGGAAUAUUGCACAAUGGGGGAAACCCUGAUGCAGCGACGCCGCGUGAGCGAUGAAGUAUUUCGGUAUGUAAAGCUCUAUCAGCAGGGAAGAAAAUGACGGUACCUGACUAAGAAGCCCCGGCUAACUACGUGCCAGCAGCCGCGGUAAUACGUAGGGGGCAAGCGUUAUCCGGAUUUACUGGGUGUAAAGGGAGCGUAGACGGCGGUGCAAGCCAGAUGUGAAAGCCCGGGGCUCAACCCCGGGACUGCAUUUGGAACUGUGCUGCUAGAGUGUCGGAGAGGCAGGCGGAAUUCCUAGUGUAGCGGUGAAAUGCGUAGAUAUUAGGAGGAACACCAGUGGCGAAGGCGGCUUGCUGGGCUGUAAAUGACGCUGAGGCUCGAAAGCGUGGGGAGCAAACAGGAUUAGAUACCCGUGUA